GGCCUUGCUCUUAUGUCAUCUGACUAAAGGUUUCAUAGACCAAAGAUAACCAUCCAACUUGUUGGAAUACUGAAACAAUUGCUGCCUGCUGUCCACACACCACAUAAAAUAUGUGGAUUUCGUAAAUUCUGCAAAAAAGGUUUGGAAGCUGAUCAAUCAAUACUGGAACUCCCUCUUCUCCAGAAGAGACAUCCUGGCCUCCAUGCAGAGGAAUGUGUGGAUGGACAUAUAUUUAAGGAAGACACUAAACCAGAAACUACUACAUUACACCCUCUUAGAAGACUUCUAAGAUUGUUGUCAUGCCUACCACAGACAUUCAGAUGAUGUAUAUUGUUGAUUGUGAUUUCAUGUUUGGACCUGAUGAAGGAGUUUGAAGUCUCCAGAGCAGCAAAGAGAGUGGGGAGUAGAACUCAUCAUCUUUAGGUCACUCAUCAUCG
This is a long non-coding RNA of Mus musculus (house mouse), 437 nucleotides long. RefSeq annotates it as predicted gene 28326. The record is from RefSeq and is a predicted model, not a curated record. The transcript is spliced from 3 exons. NCBI's taxonomy places the organism in Eukaryota, Metazoa, Chordata, Mammalia, Rodentia, Muridae.